CAUAGCAAGUCGGUCCCACCCCUUCCCAUCCCGAACAGGACCGUGAAACGACUUUGCGCCGAUGAUAGUGCUGCAACCAGUGUGAAAGUAGGUUAUCGUCAGGC
Molecule: ribosomal RNA, 104 nt
Filed under: Pseudomonadota bacterium
Lineage: Bacteria; Pseudomonadati; Pseudomonadota
Also listed under: 2 other names
Source: RNAcentral